This 253-nucleotide ribosomal RNA is filed under the name uncultured bacterium. RNAcentral describes it as "partial 16S ribosomal RNA". It matches the Rfam family "Bacterial small subunit ribosomal RNA", at positions 524 to 776 of the family's 1533-position model. The record is from RNAcentral.
UACGAAGGGGGCUAGCGUUGCUCGGAAUCACUGGGCGUAAAGCGCACGUAGGCGGCUCUUUAAGUCAGGGGUGAAAUCCUGGAGCUCAACUCCAGAACUGCCUUUGAUACUGAGAAGCUUGAGUCCGGGAGAGGUGAGUGGAACUGCGAGUGUAGAGGUGAAAUUCGUAGAUAUUCGCAAGAACACCAGUGGCGAAGGCGGCUCACUGGCCCGGUACUGACGCUGAGGUGCGAAAGCGUGGGGAGCAAACAGG